Sinocyclocheilus rhinocerous is the source of this 213-nucleotide long non-coding RNA. RefSeq lists it as uncharacterized. The record is from RefSeq and is a predicted model, not a curated record. The transcript is spliced from 3 exons. NCBI's taxonomy places the organism in Eukaryota, Metazoa, Chordata, Actinopteri, Cypriniformes, Cyprinidae.
AAUCUCAUUAUUCCAGGGCUUUGUCAAAGACGUUCACGACGACUCGCUCUCCGUUUCGUUUGAAAAUAACUGGCAACCUGAAAGACAAGCUCCCUUCAGUGAUGUGCGGUUACCACCUCCUGCUGACGGCAAAACGGAGAUCACCGAAGGAGAAGAAGUGGAGAUUUACUCCCGAGCGAACGAGCAGGAGCCCUGCGGCUGGUGGCUGGCUAA